GACGAACGCUGGCGGCGUGCUUAACACAUGCAAGUCGAACGGAAAGGCCCUGCUUUUGUGGGGUGCUCGAGUGGCGAACGGGUGAGUAACACGUGAGUAACCUGCCCUUGUCUUUGGGAUAACUUCAGGAAACUGGGGCUAAUACCGGAUAGGAGCUCCUGCUGCAUGGUGGGGGUUGGAAAGUUUCGGCGGUUGGGGAUGUACUCGCGGCUUAUCAGCUUGUUGGUGGGGUAGUGGCUUACAAAGGCUUUGACGGGUAGCCGGCCUGAGAGGGUGACCGGCCACAUUGGGACUACGAUACGGCCCAGACUCCUACGGGAGGCGGCAGUGGGGAAUAUUGCACAAUGGGCGGAAGCCUGAUGCAGCAACGCCGCGUGCGGGAUGACGGCCUUCGGGUUAUAAACCGCUUUGGCCUGUGACGAAGCGUGAGUGACGGUAAUGGGUAAAGAAGCACCGGCUAACUACGUG
This 468-nucleotide ribosomal RNA is filed under the name uncultured bacterium. Its description in RNAcentral is "partial 16S ribosomal RNA". It matches the Rfam family "Bacterial small subunit ribosomal RNA", at positions 28 to 507 of the family's 1533-position model. The record is from RNAcentral.